CAGUUAAGCUCGUAGUCGGAUUUCGGGGCGGGGCGACCGGUCUGCCGAUGGGUAUGCACUGGUCGGCGCGUCCUUCCUUCCGGAGACCGUGCCUACUCUUAACUGAGCGGGGGCGGGAGACGGAUCGUUUACUUUGAAAAAAUCAGAGUGUUUCAAGCAGGCGUCUCGCCUUUGCAUGGAUUAGCAUGGGAUAAUGAAAUAGGACUUUGGUGCUAUUUUGUUGGUUUCGAACACCGAAGUAAUGAUUAACAGGGACAGUCAGGGGCACUCGUAUUCCGUCGAGAGAGGUGAAAUUCUCAGACCAAUGGAAGACGAACAACUGCGAAAGCAUUUGCCAGGGAUGUUUUCACUGAUCAAGAACGAAAGUUAGGGGAUCGAAGACGAUCAGAUACCGUCGUAGUCUUAACCAUAAACCAUGCCGACUAGGGAUCGGAGGAUGUUAGAUUUGACUCCUUCGGCACCUUACGGGAAACUAAAGUCUUUGGGUUCCGGGGGGAGUAUGGUCGCAAGGCUGAAACUUAAAGGAAUUGACGGAAGGGCACCACCAGGAGUGGAGCCUGCGGCUUAAUUUGACUCAACACGGGGAAACUUACCAGGUCCAGACAUUGUAAGGAUUGACAGAUUGAGAGCUCUUUCUUGAUUCGAUGGGUGGUGGUGCAUGGCCGUUCUUAGUUGGUGGAGUGAUUUGUCUGGUUAAUUCCGUUAACGAACGAGACCUUAGCCUGCUAAAUAGUUACGCGAACUCUCUGUUUGCGGCCAACUUCUUAGAGGGACAACUUGUUUUCAACAAGUGGAAGUUUGAGGCAAUAACAGGUCUGUGAUGCCCUUAGAUGUUCU
Molecule: ribosomal RNA, 837 nt
Filed under: uncultured eukaryote
Lineage: Eukaryota
Description: SSU rRNA
Rfam family: Eukaryotic small subunit ribosomal RNA
Source: RNAcentral